UGAGGAAUUUUCGGCAAUGGACGCAAGUCUGACCGAGCAACGCCGCGUGCAGGACGAAGGUUUUCGGAUCGUAAACUGCUUUUCUCGGGGAAGAGGACGGACGGUACCCGAGGAAGAAGCACCGGCUAACUACGUGCCAGCAGCCGCGGGAAUACGUAGGGGGCAAGCGUUGUCCGGAGUUACUGGGCGUAAAGCGCACGCAGGCGGUCGUGCAAGUUUGGGGUUACAGCUCCCGGCUCAACCGGGAGAGCGCCUCGAAGACUGCAGGACUUGAGGGCCAAAGAGGGACUCAGAAUUCCGGGUGUAGUGGUGAAAUGCGUAGAUAUCCGGAGGAAUACCAAAGGCGAAGGCAGUGUCCUGGUUGGUACCUGACGCUCAGGUGCGAAAGCUAGGGGAGCGAAC
RNAcentral lists this ribosomal RNA (402 nucleotides) under uncultured bacterium. RNAcentral's name for it is "bacterial SSU rRNA". It matches the Rfam family "Bacterial small subunit ribosomal RNA", at positions 355 to 773 of the family's 1533-position model. The record is from RNAcentral.